This 226-nucleotide ribosomal RNA is filed under the name uncultured bacterium. RNAcentral's name for it is "partial 16S ribosomal RNA". It matches the Rfam family "Bacterial small subunit ribosomal RNA", at positions 113 to 334 of the family's 1533-position model. The record is from RNAcentral.
CGACGUAGGUAACCUGCCUGGUAGCGGGGGAUAACUAUUGGAAACGAUAGCUAAUACCGCAUAAUAGCAGUUAUUGCAUGAUAACUGUUUGAAAGGUGCAAUUGCAUCACUACCAGAUGGACCUGCGUUGUAUUAGCUAGUUGGUGGGGUAACGGCCCACCAAGGCGACGAUACAUAGCCGACCUGAGAGGGUGAUCGGCCACACUGGGACUGAGACACGGCCCAG